UUAUUAUUAUUUUAUAAACCUAAAGAAUUUGGCGGUGUUUUAUUCUGUUUAGAGGAACUUGUUCAAUAAUCGAUAAUCCCCGUUAUAUCUUACUUGAUUUCAGUAUGUAUACCGCCGUUAUAAGUUUAUAUUUUUAGGUCAUUAAUUUACUAAUUAAUUAAUUAAUUUUUAUUUCAGGUCAAGGUGCAGCUUAUAAUUAAGUUGAAAUGAGUUACAAUAUUAUUUUAAUUUGGAUUUAAUUAAUAAUAUUUUUGUUGAAAUUGGAUUUAAUUGUAAUUUUAAUAAUAGAGUUAUUUUGAACUUUGGUGCUAAAAUGAGUACACAUCGCCCGUCGCUCUA
This 339-nucleotide ribosomal RNA is filed under the name Carausius detractus. RNAcentral describes it as "partial small subunit ribosomal RNA". Lineage: Eukaryota; Metazoa; Arthropoda; Insecta; Phasmatodea; Lonchodidae. The record is from RNAcentral.